CCCCGUGGAGUCCUGGCGUGGGGCCAUGGUGCGAGCUCCACUUGUCCUAGGAGGCGGGCCAGCUCAGGAGCUCCCUGGUGGUCUGAGUCCCAACCCAAAUCUCCCUUUUGUUUCCCAGAUGGCUUUUUCCCAAGCUCUUGGAAACUAAUCAAAGUAAUGUUAAAUGAGAAAUGAUCACGCGGUCUGUACGGACCCCACACUUUGACUCAAAGCCUGGCCUUCUGGACUGGCCCCCUACGCUCAGUGCCAGUGUCCCUCGGCUCCUUUUGGAGCAGUGUUGGACUGAGCAGCCUGCGAUGGGACCGCCCAAGCUCAGCUUUCUUGUUGGCUGUGUCUGUCUAGAACCUGUGUGCUUACCUUUCUCCUGUCCUCCUACGUCCCCUCCCCAGCGUGACAGCAGUUACCUCUGGCGAGAGGAGGGAGCAAGACCGCGGAAGGAACAAAGACAGCCUCAACUUUAUCUGCAAUCUUCUAUUUCCGUUAUAAAAUUAAGGCGCCGUGAGAGAGGUGCUACGUGGAGAGCUGUUUGGACCUGGGCCCUACGCUUUAUAAAGAGAUGACACUGGAAGGCGCAAACUCUGUGAACAGAGUCAUUUGAGGAGCAGAAUAAAAACGUUUAACGCCGUGGCAUAGAAUGAAACUAUAUUGUCUUGAAUUCCAGCUAGGUCAAAGGUAAGCACAUAAGCGGCGUGUGGGGAGGGCACCGUCUUCAGCUUGCACUUCAGUCAGCACGUCAGGCCAUCGUCCUGGAGGUUGCACAGGCCCUAUUGUGCUGCAGAGCUGCAAGGGAGGCUGCAGAGAAAUGGGCUGCACGGAGAAGGCCUUCCCAGAACGGGCCAUAAAGGAGGCACUCGGGAUGCGUCAGCGGCGGAUGGCAAUGCAAGAGGCUGAGAAUCAGAUCAAACCGGAGCCAGAGCUCUUUGCUCACUGGCUAAGUCUGUCAUUCGCUCAGUGGGGAGCCUGGAGGGUCCUCGCUUCCUGGUAUAGUCUUUUUAUCUUGUAUGUAAGAAUACCUGAGUUGUGUGCUGGAAAAUCCACGCGGGUCAUUAGAUCUCAGAGUGUAAGUCACUCGCAGCAAAUACUUUUGUUACUUUAAGACAGUCUCACAUUAAGGAAUCUGGCCAGGUAUUGUGGAAGGUUUUGACUUCCCCUAUCAAAACUCAGCUUCUAAGAAUGAAUAAAACCAGGUAAUUAGUUGUCCUUCCUGACUUACAGAAUGUUAUUUGAAUAAAGCUUGUUUCUCCCAGCUGUGGUACAUGCUACAAAAUGGCCUGGUAUCCCGUCUCAUUCCGCCAGUCCACAGAUACAGACAGCACAGAUUGCAUCCGCCGGGCGCUGCUUAGAUGUGAGGGUGCUGGAGUAAACAAAACAGACACAGCCCCUGCCACUUGGAGGCCUUCAGAAAUGGGCAUCUACCUGGCCUGCAC
RNAcentral lists this long non-coding RNA (1427 nucleotides) under Equus caballus (horse). RNAcentral's name for it is "lncRNA (ENSECAG00000047814.1)". The record is from RNAcentral. Lineage: Eukaryota; Metazoa; Chordata; Mammalia; Perissodactyla; Equidae.